This 353-nucleotide unclassified non-coding RNA is filed under the name soil metagenome. RNAcentral's name for it is "partial contains 5.8S ribosomal RNA, internal transcribed spacer 2, and large subunit ribosomal RNA". The stretch from base 1 to 121 matches the Rfam family "5.8S ribosomal RNA", at positions 35 to 154 of the family's 154-position model. The record is from RNAcentral.
GAUGAAGAACGUAGUGAAAUGCGAUAAGUAAUGCGAAUUGCAGAAUUUCCGUGAGUCAUCGAAUCUUUGAACGCACAUUGCGCCCACUGGUAUUCCGGUGGGCAUGCCUGUUCGAGCGUCAUUAUCCUCCCUCAAAACUCCUGUUUUGGUGUUGGGCCGCGUUGGUCACCUCCGACCAACGGGCCUUAAAGACAAUGACGGCGUCCGUGGGACCCUCUUCGCAGUGAGCUUUUGUUAGCGCGCGUUGAGUUUAAAGGACCUUCCGGGCCGGCCACCUUUUAUCUAUUUUACAAGGUUGACCUCGGAUCAGGUAGGAAUACCCGCUGAACUUAAGCAUAUCAAUAAGCGGAGGA